Sander lucioperca (pikeperch) is the source of this 1072-nucleotide long non-coding RNA. RefSeq lists it as uncharacterized. The record is from RefSeq and is a predicted model, not a curated record. The transcript is spliced from 3 exons. Lineage: Eukaryota; Metazoa; Chordata; Actinopteri; Perciformes; Percidae.
CAAAAAAUGUACGCAAUCACGAGGAGUCUGCCGAAGAGACGCCAGGUGAAACUGAUUAAAUCAAUUAGCUAGAUCGUCACUGUGAUUCCUUUGCGAAACGGAAUGCACGGGACUCUGGAAAGAAAUUGUGUAUUGAAAUGUAAUGAAAGUUAGUUCUACUCAGGCAUCACACACCAAACAAUAGAAAGUUAUGUUAUUAUUUUACAUUAAACAAUCUGGAAAGGUAAUGUUAGCUUGUUUUCUAGUGUUGCUAAUAUCAGCUUCUGUGAGGCUAGCUAGCAAGCUAGCAGGGAUGGAGUUUUGUCAACAAACACUAAAUCACCGUCACAGCAAAAGCAGCCGGACAGUAUACCGAUAUGGACACUUCACCUCCAUGAAAGAAAGGAGAAUGGACGUCAAAUAAGCAUUAGGUUUGUGGCUGCAGGUGGAGGAGGAAGUGUCCCGAUCGGCCCGCCUCUAUCUCCUCGCCGCUGUGUCAACAUAUUUCAUCAUCAGAGGAUUCACUCCAUUUGCUUCAGAAUACACCUCUAACAUCCCCAAAAAAUUCAUGAAGAGGUGAAAAGAAGAUGAGUACCGGAGUGGGGGGACCGGUAGCGGAAGUCCUCCUUGGUGAGCAGCAGCAGGGCUUUGCCGUUCAUUUGGAAAGAGCCGCUGGUGAUCGGCCGCAGGGCGAACUCCUUCUCGGCCCAUCGCAGCCACUGGGCCACGUCCUCCCUGCUCCAAAAGACUGGCUGCAGACCUGGAGGUGGAAGGGUUGGGGGAGAAGGGGGAGGAGACGGGGUUGAGACCAGAGUUUUUGUAAAGAAGCAACACAGUGGAGGUGAUGGGGAAGGGAAGGAAGAGAAGUAGGAUGAGCUCAGUGGAGAAGAGGCAGAAGGACGGGGGGGAGGGGGGUUGGGGGCAAGGAAGGAAGAAAAGAAGGAAGGGGUGAAGGGGAUGGAGAUAAGGAGGAGGGAAAGGGGGCGGGGAGAGGAAGGAAGGAGGCAGAGGCAGUAAAAAGGAUAUUGAGGAAGUGGAGAUAAAAGCCAAAAGGAGGGAGUGAUUAUGGGAACGGCAGCAGAGAUAAAGGAAA